Molecule: ribosomal RNA, 491 nt
Filed under: uncultured bacterium
Lineage: Bacteria
Description: partial 16S ribosomal RNA
Rfam family: Bacterial small subunit ribosomal RNA
Source: RNAcentral
AGUGAGCGCUGGCGGUAGGCCUAACACAUGCAAGUCGAACGGCAGCACAGUAAGAGCUUGCUCUUACGGGUGGCGAGUGGCGGACGCGUGAGGAAUACAUCGGAAUCUACUUUUUCGUGGGGGAUAACGUAGGGAAACUUACGCUAAUACCGCAUACGACCUACGGGUGAAAGCAGGGGAUCUUCGGACCUUGCGCGAUUGAAUGAGCCGAUGUCGGAUUAGCUAGUUGGCGGGGUAAAGGCCCACCAAGGCGACGAUCCGUAGCUGGUCUGAGAGGAUGAUCAGCCACACUGGAACUGAGACACGGUCCAGACUCCUACGGGAGGCAGCAGUGGGGAAUAUUGGACAAUGGGCGCAAGCCUGAUCCAGCCAUACCGCGUGGGUGAAGAAGGCCUUCGGGUUGUAAAGCCCUUUUGUUGGGAAAGAAAAGCAGCAGGUUAAUACCCCGCUGUUCUGACGGUACCCAAAGAAUAAGCACCGGCUAACUUCGU